Molecule: non-coding RNA, 1433 nt
Organism: Punica granatum (pomegranate)
Lineage: Eukaryota; Viridiplantae; Streptophyta; Magnoliopsida; Myrtales; Lythraceae
Source: RefSeq, a predicted model, not a curated record
UCUCAGGACAACUUGUCCACAGAAGACCGUUCCAAGACACAGAAUACCGACAAAAUCCUUUCGCUCCUCCUCCUUCAUCUUUUUCAGUAGGGUUUGCAGACGAUUCGAAAAUUGCCUGCAGGAAUCUCAAAGCGAGGGCUCCAACGGCCGAUUGAACUGUGCGUUCGUGACGAGCUGCGGGCAAAGGAGCUGCGGAACACAGUGAAAAGGGGAAAUUCCAAAGGAGUUAUUCGCGGAAAACUGUGUUGUGGCACGCGUUGUCUAAUCUUCUAUUGUAGGGGCCCCCUUCCGACAGCGUUUUCAAAGGACGACUCUGCUCCUUUAAGAAGCGGUGGACUGGAUUCACUCUCAGCAUUCGCAUUUCAGUCAUUACAUGCAUCAUGGCUCCAAAGGGGGAAAAUAUCAUCGAAUGGAGUGAUGAAAUGGACUUGGCUUUCCUAAACGUAAUGCUUGAGAAGCAGAGAAGAACACACACUACAACAUGGAAGACCAGUGCUUGGAAAGAGAUCACAGCUAAAAUGAUGAAUUUAUUUCCGGAUAAGCAACUGUUUUUGCAUAAGGUUAAGGACAAGUAUCAAAGAAUGAAGACAAAUUUCACCCGCUUUUUUGAAAUAGUGAAGCAUACAGGCGUCGGGUGGGAUGCAGACACAAACACCGUCACAGCCGACUCUGAUGUUUGGGAUAUGUUUAUAAAGCAAUGUUGUGCUUCUUUGUAAAGAAGAACAGGGCGUACAAGACUUUCCGGAGCAAGGGCUGCAAGUACUACGAUUUGCAGAAGCAACUGUUCAGUUCUUCCGUGGCUACCGGUGCUCUUCGCAUAUCCUCGACCGAUCCACCUCCAACUUUAGAAGAAGAACGCCGGUUAAAUGAGGAAUUCUUAUCUAGGGGGAAGGGAAAGCAGAAACAACAUAUCGAUCUCGAAGAAGACUCCGACGAGAGUGACGACCCCGCACAUGUUGCACAGCCCAUUCUAACCGAGUCUCGACGUCGAGUGCCGAAAAGAUCUCAAAGCAAGAGCUCACAAAUGCAGGAAUGCAUGGAUAUAUUCAGGGAGAGUUUCACGAAGAAUCAGCAGGACACCACAUCGUCGGCAAAGAAAAGCAAGUCGGUAUCGAGCCCUGAGAAACCUGAGAAGAAUAGCAUCGAGGAAGCCCUCAAUGAGUUGGCUAAAUUGGAAUCGAGAAUCCCUAAAUCUUUGUUUGUGAAAGCGGGGAAAACACUCCUAGAUCCGGGCUCCCAAAGGCUUUUCAUGUGGUUCAAGGAGGAGUCACGAAUGGAAUGGAUAUUGCAGCUGGAUCAUCCUUGAAGCAACCGUCAUCAUAUCUUUUUUCUUUUUUUUUCAAAAAACAACGUUUAUUAAUUUUUCCUGACUGAACUUGUACUACUGAUGUUUGUUAUGUGUGUUUGCUUAUGAUGAUGAGUUUUUAUUUUAA